This 425-nucleotide ribosomal RNA is filed under the name uncultured bacterium. Its description in RNAcentral is "bacterial SSU rRNA". It matches the Rfam family "Bacterial small subunit ribosomal RNA", at positions 355 to 786 of the family's 1533-position model. The record is from RNAcentral.
UAGGGAAUCUUGCGCAAUGGGCGAAAGCCUGACGCAGCGACGCCGCGUGCGGGAAGAAGGCCUUCGGGUUGUAAACCCCUUUCGGCAGGGGACAAGCCGUUUCGGCGGUGAGGGUACCUGCGGAAGAAGCGCCGGCUAACUACGUGCCAGCAGCCGCGGUAAUACGUAGGGCGCGAGCGUUAUCCGGAAUUAUUGGGCGUAAAGAGCUCGUAGGCGGUUUGUCGCGUCUGCUGUGAAAGCCCGGGGCUCAACCCCGGGUCUGCAGUGGGUACGGGCAGGCUGGAGUGCAGUAGGGGAGACUGGAAUUCCUGGUGUAGCGGUGAAAUGCGCAGAUAUCAGGAGGAACACCGAUGGCGAAGGCAGGUCUCUGGGCUGUAACUGACGCUGAGGAGCGAAAGCGUGGGGAGCGAACAGGAUUAGAUACC